This 389-nucleotide ribosomal RNA is filed under the name uncultured eukaryote. RNAcentral's name for it is "SSU rRNA". It matches the Rfam family "Eukaryotic small subunit ribosomal RNA", at positions 587 to 972 of the family's 1831-position model. The record is from RNAcentral.
AGCUCCAGUAGCGUAUAUUAAAGUUGUUGCAGUUAAAAAGCUCGUAGUUGGAUUUCUGGCUUGAGACGCCUGAGCCGCCAGGGUUACCUGUGUGAGUCUCGGUGUGUCUCUGCCAUCCUUCUGGAUAGCGUGUCUACCUUUUAUUAGGCCGGGCUCGUGCUCCAGAUCUUUUACUUUGAAAAAAUUAGAGUGUUUAAAGCAAGCUUGCGCUAUGAAUACAUUAGCAUGGAAUAAUAACUUAGGACUUUGGUUCUAUUUUGUUGGUUUCUAGGACUGAAGUAAUGAUUGAUAGGGAUAGUUGGGGGUGCUAGUAUUCAGCGGCCAGAGGUGAAAUUCUUGGAUUCGCUGAAGACUAACUUAUGCGAAAGCAUUCACCAAGGAUGUCUUCU